Erinaceus europaeus (western European hedgehog) is the source of this 1142-nucleotide long non-coding RNA. RefSeq lists it as uncharacterized. The record is from RefSeq and is a predicted model, not a curated record. Lineage: Eukaryota; Metazoa; Chordata; Mammalia; Eulipotyphla; Erinaceidae. The transcript is spliced from 3 exons.
CCGCAGCGCCCAGCUCCCGCCCGCGCCGGCUGGGGGGCGCGACUGCCUGCCCGCCCCGCUGGGUCCCUGCCCGCGCCCAGGGCGGCCUCUCCAGCCCGGAAAGACAAAGGCUGAGAGAUAAGAGGAGUAAAUAUAGAGAAGGAGAGACAUCCCAGAACUGCUCCAGCACUCAUGAAGCUUCCCCUGCUGAUUGAGCCAGUCCUCUUCUGACUUCAGGGCACAUGGUCAGCCCAGGGCCUGAACCUGAGUCCUUGUGCAUGGUAACAUGUAUGCCCUAUUGGGUGAGCCACCUCUAGACCCUGCAUCUUUAUUUCUAAUUGUGGUAGAUUAUGCAUACCAUAACAUCUACCAUUACUUACAACUAGUGCAUUCACAGGACUGUGUACCAUCACCAUCAUGCUAUUCAAGAAUAUAUCAUCACCCCAAAAAGAAGCCUCAUACCCACAAAUAGUCACCCCUCACUCCACCCCCAGAUCAUGACAGCCAUCAUCCUGCUGUCUGUAUCUAUAGGGCUACGUGUAUGGACACUUCAUGUAAACAGAGUCAGAGGAUGUGCAGUUGUUGUGUCUGGUAUUAUUCAUGCAUUUUUCUGGUUGAAGAGCUACCAUGGCAUGGUUACUCUACAUUUGUUUAUCCAGAAGUUGGUGGACAUCUGGGUAGCUUAGACACUGAGCUUUAAUGUAGAGGUUCUGGCAUCAGGUCCCACACCUCUCCUUCCCUUUGUGGCCUCAUGUCUUAAGUCUUGUAGAUGCACCUGUAAAAUGGAGCUAUAACAUGUAAUCCCCAACCCACCCUGGAGACCUUUCAGAGCACAAGAAAAAUGAGCUGAGUGACUCAGGAGUUGGCAUGAAGGAGAAGAAGGAGAAACAGAGGAGGAAGACAGAAAAAGGAGAGGAGGAGGGAGGAAGAUAAGAAGGAUGGGGAGGGAGUCUGGCGGUAGCGCAGUGGGUUAAGCGCAUGUGUUAAGCGCAAAGCGCAAGAACCGUUGGAAGGAUCCUGGUUCAAGCCCCGGCUCCCCACCUGCAGUGGAGUCGCUUCACAGGCAGUGAAGCAGGUCUGCAGGUGUCUGUCUUUCUCUCCCCCUCUCUGUCUUCCCCUCCUCUCUCCAUUUCUCUCUGUCCUAUCCAACAACAAUAAUAACU